RNAcentral lists this small nuclear RNA (141 nucleotides) under Cebus imitator (Panamanian white-faced capuchin). Its description in RNAcentral is "U4 spliceosomal RNA (ENSCCAG00000006253.1)". It matches the Rfam family "U4 spliceosomal RNA". From Rfam's summary of the family: U4 small nuclear RNA (U4 snRNA) is a component of the major U2-dependent spliceosome. Lineage: Eukaryota; Metazoa; Chordata; Mammalia; Primates; Cebidae. The record is from Rfam by way of RNAcentral.
AUCUUUGCGCAGUGGCAGUAUCUUAGCCAAUGAGGUUAAUCCGAGGUGCGAUUACUGCUAAUUGAAAACUUUUCCCAAUACCCCGUUGUGUCGACUUGCAAUAUAGUCUGCACUGGCAAUUUUUGACAGUCUCUACGGAGA